GGCGCUCAGGGCAGCUCCCCUCAGUGCGCGCGGGGCAGUGGGAUGAGCCCGUUUUCCGCAGCAGCAGCUCCAGGGAGAGUUUCAUUGAGGGCCGGGAGGCAGCGCUGGGCUGGGAUCUGCUCUGCUCCUCCCGGCAGCCGAGGCGCCUUCCCCGCCCCCGGGUCUCGGAGCCGCGCGUGGCCGGGCAGACGCUUCAAGGAGUCUCCUGGAAUUUCUAGUUGGAGAGAGCUACUUGAGAUGAGAUGAAAUAUCACUUAAACUCUCUGUUAAGACGAGAAAUGCCAAAUAAUUCGGUGCGACUUAGCAGGGGCUUAGAAAUCUUAUAUCAAGAACUAUUUAAACUCUAUCUGCCUUCACUGGGAAAGUUACCACAAUUUAACAUCAAGCUGCUCGAGUUGAAAGUGUAACACAAAGCUUGUGGCCCACCAGAGAUGAACUGAGGACAGACCUUUAUGUAUGGUAAAUUGCUUUGAUGAAGGUGGCUUCAGAAGAGGGUAAUGAGAAUUGUGCUGAUAUUGUUUAACGUCAAGGCGAAUAAGGAAACCUUUUGAACCUGCGCAAAUAUUUGGAGUCGCACAUGGUUUUCAAUGAGCACACUCUUUUGGAGCGGCUCCUGGUGAUGAUGCCAAUCAGCAACUGAUCCGUAGCCUGUGCCUAGGUCAGUGCAACUGGGGAACCAGGACCAGAAUGUGGAGGAUGGACCACAGAUGAUCAGCACAGGAUAAGUGCAACUAUUUUUUAUUUAUUGCUAUUGAUUUGUGUGUUUAGUUAUAGACCCAGGGCAGGGAGCCCAAGGCCUGGGGAGAAACCCGUAUUCUGGAUACAAGCCUCAGGCAAUCUUCUCGGGGAGGCCAGGGUCCUAGUCAGUGAAUCCUCAGCCAACCCUCUGCAGCUAGAGUAGGGCAUGGGAGCAUACCCAACUCAACAUGCCCAGCAGCGUCUGUCCUGAGUCACAGCGACCUGUGUGACCCACACAGAGUCACCAAGUAAGCACAGGAAAUCGGUUUAUUUCACUCCACAACCUGCCUCAAAGUGCUGAACCUACCAUGCCCAGAUCCAUUUUAUUAUGUCCACAGAGUCUGCACAGAGACAAAAUUGUGUUGCUUUUUAUAUUGUAGUGCCUGGUACUCUUAAGGCAUUAAUAUGUUCCGUAGCAAAUCACCUUGUAAAGCUGGCUGUUUCUGGGGCAUAAGCAUCCCACUUCCAGUGCAGCAUAAAGGGGUUCUGAAAUGUUCAGAUCCCAUGCCACUCAAGGGACACUGGGCAUAACCCCUCUGUAACAGGGACCCUACCACAUUACUAGAGGGUCAAGGGUGCUUGGGUUUCACCCCCUCUUCCCCCACCACUUUCUAUUCCCGUUCACUUUCCCCGCCACUCCUUGCCCUUUCUUGGGUCUGGCAGGUCAUCCCUUCCCUUUGGGGUGCUCCCUGGCUGCCUUGGGUAUGGUUCAUUCCACCUUCCCCCCAACCCUUCCUUGCCUCCAUGCUCUCACACCCUUUCCUUACCCCCCUCCCCAACAUUAGUUUGGUCAUUGUUGCUCAUGUUGUCUGGGUGCUACUGCAGAUCAUUAGCAGGCUGAAGAUUUGGAAAUAAGAUGGCCACCAGGUCCAGGUGCAGCCCCUGAUGACCUUAGGACAGAAGUCGAGGAGUCAGGUGACCUGCAUCACCCUUUAUAAGCUCAAGCCUCAGGCCAGUGUAGAUGUGCGCAAUGAGACACGGAAGUUUUCUCAUAGAAAUGACAGCUAUGUUCUUCUGAAUAUGCAAGCAAAAAGGAUAGAUGGUUUAGCAGGCAGUCAAAGCUAUAUACAUGUCUUGGAGGUCUUAUAUGAGUGUUGUUGGAAAAUGAAACCAAUUAAGAAACAUCUGCAGACAACUGAAUGCUGUGAAGUGUGAACAAUGAAAUUUCUUUCAAGAGAAGAGAGAUACCACUCUGAACAUGUCUGGGAAAGCUCUUUCCAAACAAAAAGGCUUGUUCAUGUCUUUUUCAUAAAUCUUAUGGUGCUUGAAUAUGGCUCUAAAGAGCACAGAAGUCUGAAACAGUGUCAAUCAUACUUUGGUAAUACGUUGCAUCGAUUGUGAUCAGUCUAGCCAGUUAAAUUCCUGGAGGAUUUAGUAGAGGAGUACCAUGCAAUACUGAUCUGAUUAUGUAUAAGACAUUUUACUGUUUGUGGUCCCAGAUUUGAUUAAGUUGACUUCUAAAGAUAACUGCUUUCUGUUCAUGACAUCUUUAGAAGUGAGUGUAAAGGGUUUUUUUUAAUGCCUAAUUAUGCAUUUCCCCCUCUUAACAUGUUUAAAUUUCCAUUAAGCUUAACCUCAGCUCUAAAUUUCCUGUGCUUGUAAUACAUCCUUGAUCCUUGGGAUAACUACAACGUCCCUGUAAUAGUUUUUAGCCUUAACUUAAAGAUGUCUACUCCCUACUUUGAGGCCCAGUGGCAAAAUGGUUAAGCGGCCUUCCUACAGCUCCAGAGACAUGAGUUUAAGCCUUAUUUUACAGCCCCAGUGAACCCAGCUCUAAAUAGGCAUCUGGUCAUUUUGGGCUGGGAAGUCAACAGGGGCUGGAUGAGAUGCUAGUCACAUCAUUCCCUUGUGUGCCAUUGGCUACAGAAAGUGGUGAGCUUUCACCAUAAUAACUCAGACAGACAUAGGAGUCUUAAUUAUAACUCCAAUUUAAGAUGGGUUACUAUUGUGUGGGGGCUACUAAUGAGAAUUAAUCAUGGAAAGAAUUUUCACCUAGCUGCUUGUCUGAAAUGAAGCCUUGGAAAAUUUGUGACCUAAUGAUCUCAUUUAAAAUGAUAAGCUAGCUAGGUAGCUCGAGUACUGCUUGCAGUGUAGCUGUAGCAGUACUGAGCUCAGUGUCAGGAAACCACCAGAACAUUUCCUCUGCUUCACAGGCAGUUUUGUGCCAAGCACCAUGCUGCUGCAACCGCACUAGGGCAAUUAUUUCUGUUUCUUGACUAGGUAGAAAUAGCAUUUACUGCUGAGUUUCCAGUAGGUACUUAAAACUUUUCUUCAAAGAUUCUUGCUGGUACAGUCCCAUACCUAGAGUCCCAGCUAUUAUAAACUGACAUAGUUCCACUUAAGUCAGUGAAUCCCAUUUUUAUAUGUAUAAUGUUUAUUUAUUUAUAUAUUCAGUUUAUAAGCUGCCCCUCCCAACAAAGGCUCAGGGUGACUUAUAGUAAGAAAACAGAAUAACUUAAAAACAGGAGUGGGAGAAGGGAACCAAAACUACUUAAAAACAAACUAGAACAGAGACCACCCCAUCUCCCCCCAAACAACAACUCAUCCUGGUUUUGUUUGGUGAAUGCAUGCCCAAAUAAGAAGGUUUUACAGCGCUUCCAGAAUUUUUUGUUUAACAUGAUAGGGUCCUUAACUUGGGUCUGCAGAUACUGCCACCAUAAAGAGUUAAUAAUAAGCUUAAUCACACAAUGAUGGAAAGCAGAAAAGGGGUUAUUGCAAAUUAAUUUAACACUGAAACAAACAUUCCAUUAUUUUGCAGUGCUUUCCAAGCCUAAUCAAAGUAAAGUGGCAAAAGAUUGUGAGGAAGCCAGCCCUGUCAACAGCUCACUGGCUAUGCCAUACAUAUUCCUUGAUAAAAGACUUUGGCUUUCACAGUCUACAUCGCUCCAUAUUUAAGAAGCACAGAAUUCACUAUAAAUGUCUUUGACGAUUUUUCCUGGAGAGGUCAUUUAGAUCAAUACAGUAUAAAUCUCUCUUAGGUAGAAUAUUUCACACAGUGAGUCUCUAGACACUACAAAUCCAUAAGAAGUCAUCCAAAAACAAACAGGAAAAUGCCUAAUGAACUGGAUAAAUAUAGCUAGAUAAAAAUAACACUCUAUUUAUUAAUCUGCUCUCUAUCUAGCAUUCUCCCCUUAUCCACUUGCACUGUAGCUACUGAGAGAGAGAGACAUAAAAGGCUUAUCUUCCUAUUAGUUCUGAGAAUGAAAGCUUUCGCUUGUACUCAGGCUUUUGCCUUUUCUCUUACAAUCUUGCCAUCUCUAUGCUAAUUUCUGUAAAACACCUUUUAAUUGUAUUAUCUCUCAUUGUAAAGUAUUUCAAGAUUCUCUGUUUGGAAAAGUCUAUAGAAAUAACAGGCUGAACCAAAUAAAUCUUUCUUCUAAUGUU
This is an RNA transcript of Alligator mississippiensis (American alligator), 4122 nucleotides long. It is a transcript of the gene named family with sequence similarity 110 member B, with no coding region annotated. Lineage: Eukaryota; Metazoa; Chordata; Crocodylia; Alligatoridae. The record is from RefSeq and is a predicted model, not a curated record. The transcript is spliced from 7 exons.